Molecule: long non-coding RNA, 1882 nt
Filed under: Nicotiana tabacum (common tobacco)
Lineage: Eukaryota; Viridiplantae; Streptophyta; Magnoliopsida; Solanales; Solanaceae
Description: long non-coding RNA (NTAB_LNC016776)
Source: RNAcentral
CAAUGAUCUGAGUCGACAUGCGUUUACCUAUGGCUAAGAAAAACACAAACCAAAAGUCAAAUAGUUUCAAUUGAUUAAACUACAUAUCAUAGUCCUUAAUUAUUACAUGUUCCACCAAGUCUAAAGCACUCUUGAAUCUUUUAUACUCAAGCAAAGUUCAACUUCAGCAUUUGAAACUAGCUGUAUAUCAUGGAAUGGGGCCUUCACAAUAAACUAGACUAGAAACAUGAAUAAUACAUGGCAGAAUUGCACAGUAAUCAUAACAGAGGCUAAUGCCUUCUCAUUCAAAUUCAGCUUGGUCAUAGAUCUUUACACACAGCUUAAUCAUGCUUCAUUUAUACCAUAGUUUUAAGAUAAUACCUAGUAAUGAACAAGGAAAAACCAAAAGAAGUGAGGUAUCAGUAGUAAGCAAUAACAGAAACCAGUCCAGAUGCAGCUAAUAAAACAGUGAAAUCAACUCAGAAAAAAAACCAAUGGAACAGUAAAACCCCAUAGCAACUCAAAACCAGCUUUUACAAUACCAAAAUCAGACCAUCUUCAACCCAGGUGUAAGAUUUGAAGUUUUCAGAGAUUCAACCAGUGAAUAAGAUCAGCAAAUCAACACUACACGGAAAUUUUGAGCAAUUUGUCACAAAGAAAGUGCAUGGAAAUCAGUGUUAUUCCCAAGUUUUAGCCGUUUCAAUUUUCUGGACUUUUUUAAUCUCUCUCAAUCCCUUUUUCUAGUCUUAAGAAAUGAUGCCUUUAUAGGCAAGAUAUUAGGGCAGCCUAAAAGGAUCAGUUUUUGCACUUUGCACCUUUUGAUAUUUUCAUUUUAGCUCUAAAAUCCUUAGUUCAGAAUUUAAACUUUCAAAUUAAUCCCCAUCCCAGCUUCCUAGAAGCUUCCUUAGUCUGUUACUAAAAUAUUCCCUAUGCCAAUUACCCAGAUUACCCCUUAAACCCCUGAAAAUUACCCCUCCAACCAAAAUGUGGGUCAAACUAACCCGACUGAAUUUGGUAUGGGUCUGUAACCCAAAUUGAAUUCCCUCUUGGGCUCUUGAUUUUUCAGAUCUCAAUUUAAAUCAAUCAAAGAUUCAUAGUUUUUAAGAACUGAUCAAAAUUUCCCAAAAAAAAACCCGGAAACCUUUUAAAAUGCAAUCAAAACAAAGAAAAGGGUGAAUGAACUAAUUAACCUAAACACAUAGCAGGAAAUUAACUAAGUUAUAGGCCUAAUCAAAUUAACUAUGUGACUAAAUGGGAGAUGACAUUAGAACAAUAACCAUGCUAUUAACAAAAGAAACUAAACAAACUAAGCAGGACUGGAGAAACAGACUUGGAAAAAAAACUAGCGAAGAACAAAUAGACAAUUAUUGACCUCGGCCAAGACUUUGGUCAAAUUUCAAUUGAGUUGUCCAAGGAAAAUAGAAGAAGAGAAGAAGAAAGAAGGUUGAAAUAACACAAAAUGAACAAAAUAAUAGAAAGAACUCACCGAACAAAGCUCGAACUCGAGACUUGACACUCCAAUUUCAUCCCCAAAUAAUGUCAAUCGCUUGUUCUUUGUAAAGAAUAAGCGAACAAUGUUAUUUUGUGACAAACCAGCCCUAAAAACUCAUGAGAACUGGAGCAAUAACCCUGCAUGUACAGGUUUGGAUUUGGUUUCUAGGGCUCGAACUUUAGAUUUAAGAUUCGAGACGUUCUAGCAAGAUUCGAGAGAAACAGAGUGGGGAUUUGGAACGAGGGGGUCAUGGUGCUUAUGUGGUAUCAAUUUGAGGUCAUUUGGUAACGGCGCCGCCACCGGAGAGUGGAGAAUUUAGGGGCGGUGCUAGGGUUUUGUUCUUGAGUCUCUGAAGAUUGGGGGCAUGAGAGAGACGAUGAAAGAGGGGGGGAUAGCCAUUCGGACAAUAAA